AUUGAACGCUGGCGGCAGGCCUAACACAUGCAAGUCGAGCGGAGCGUCUGACGGGUGCGUAAUGCCUAGGAAUCUGCCUGGUAGUGGGGGAUAACGUCCGGAAACGGGCGCUAUUACCUCAUACUAUCAGAUGAGCCUAGGUCGGAUUAGCUAGUGGGUGGGGUAAAGGCCUACAAAGGCGGCGAUCCGUUACUGGUCUGAGAGGAUGAUCAGUCAAACUGGAACUGAGACAAGGUACAGACUCCUGUAGGGUGCAGAAGUGGGGAAGAUUGGACAAUGGGCGAAAGCAUGAUCCAGCCAUGAAGCGUGUGUGAAGAAGGACUUCGGAUUGUAAAGCACUUAAAGUUGGGAGACGGUACCAACAGAAUAAGCACCGGCUAACUUCGUGCCAGCAGACGCGGUAAUUC
Molecule: ribosomal RNA, 407 nt
Filed under: uncultured bacterium
Lineage: Bacteria
Description: partial 16S ribosomal RNA
Rfam family: Bacterial small subunit ribosomal RNA
Source: RNAcentral